This is a long non-coding RNA of Pieris rapae (cabbage white), 785 nucleotides long. RefSeq lists it as uncharacterized. Lineage: Eukaryota; Metazoa; Arthropoda; Insecta; Lepidoptera; Pieridae. The transcript has 3 exons. The record is from RefSeq and is a predicted model, not a curated record.
GGAAAACUGCGGGUGGGUAAUAACAGUCCUUGAUCUCCAUCGAAGCUGAGCGGGUGUAAAGCGAAAUUGGUGCUGUUCAUAUAAGAAUAUGAACAGCACCAAUUUCUUCAAAAGACUUCGUCUAUUUGAGCAGAAUAUCAAGAGACCAACUGUGCAUAAUUAACUGGAUUGCUAAUGUUACUCAGAGGCUGACAGAUGUCUUCUCCGAAACAAAAACAUAAAAAGUCUUCGUAUACGUCUGAACCACUCCUGAGAUAUUUCUCACGGCAGCAGGACUUCGUAGAAGGUGAGCACUGAAAACAUACAAAAUAACAUUUAAUUCACUCACUCACUCACUCGCUUCAAAUAGUGCUCCACGGAAUCAAACAUGGGAGCACGUCUCAAUGUAUACGAGGCAUGCCGGAAACUUGUGGUGGGUAAUAUCAUUCCCUGAUCUCCAUCGAAGCUGAGCGAGUGUCUGAAUUGUUGAUCCGGAAAACAGUCAUUUAUCUACUGGCUAAAGAUUACGGUACUUCACUGGCAUUGUGUUAUAGUUGCAUCGGUGAUACAAUGAAACUGCGGUAUUGUUCGGAUACAGUGUUAGAGGUGACUGUUCAAAACAGCAAGUCAUCAAAGCACCGAAAGAAUGAUGAACACUUUUUUGUAUGCGGUUUUGCUGGGAUUCGUCUGGGCUUCUAUUGUUGAGUUGAGCCAGAAGACGACAUGGACUGCAUUGCAAAUUAUACAAAUUGUUCACAUUCUACGAAGCCCUGCUGCCGUGAAAAAUACCUCAGGAGUGAUUCAGA